UACGUAGGGGGCAAGCGUUGUCCGGAUUUAUUGGGCGUAAAGAGCGCGUAGGCGGCCAGAUAGGUCAGCUGUGAAAACUCGAGGCUCAACCUCGAGAUGUCGGCUGAAACCAUUUGGCUAGAGUCCGGAAGAGGAGAAUGGAAUUCCCGGUGUAGCGGUGAAAUGCGCAGAUAUCGGGAAGAACACCCGUGGCGAAGGCGGUUCUCUGGGACGGUACUGACGCUGAGGCGCGAAAGCGUGGGGAGCGAACAGG
This 253-nucleotide ribosomal RNA is filed under the name uncultured bacterium. RNAcentral describes it as "partial 16S ribosomal RNA". It matches the Rfam family "Bacterial small subunit ribosomal RNA", at positions 524 to 776 of the family's 1533-position model. The record is from RNAcentral.